This is a long non-coding RNA of Galeopterus variegatus (Sunda flying lemur), 679 nucleotides long. RefSeq lists it as uncharacterized. The record is from RefSeq and is a predicted model, not a curated record. The transcript has 5 exons. Lineage: Eukaryota; Metazoa; Chordata; Mammalia; Dermoptera; Cynocephalidae.
CACCCCGUGCUUCAGAAGUGCUGUUAUGACGGAGCCCAACAAAGCAAGGAGAGCUGCAAGCAGAGAGCUGCACGAAUUACCAUCGGCCCAAAGUGUUCCAGUGCUUUCUCUCAGUGCUGCAACCUGUCAAGUGAGCUGCGGAAUGAGACUUCUCACACAUAUGUAAUCUUGGGAAGGAUAGACACAGGUUCAUCAAACACUUACAUACGAGCUGCAAGCAGAGUUGUUUUAGAAAACUGGUUAUGGAAAGUAUAUCAUGUCACUAAAAGGCAUCAGCUGGAGUUGGUGCUACCUGAUUUUCUAACUACCUGGGAAAUUCAAGGUGUUGGCAUUUCAGAUAAAGGUCUGUGUGUCACAGAUGUGCUGCAGUUGCAGCUGUACAAAGACCACUUCCUGGUCACAAAUGGCAAUGCUACAAGCGUCCAUUAAAAGGGAUAGUUUCCAACAUCAAAACUCCAGGAACUUAACCCUCAACUCAGAAACGGUGGCUGAUGCUCCAGCAGCCAUCCUGGACCACAAAGUAACACCGAAGAUGGAAACUAGGUUCUAGGACAGUGGCACAGAAAGAUCCUAGCUCCUGCCUCUGAUGACACGUGAAGCUGCCAUUCUAGCCCUUGACUGCCCACCACUAGAUUUCUUUUCUAUGAGAGAGAAAUAAAUGUUUAUCUCACUUAAGCAA